Molecule: transfer RNA, 66 nt
Filed under: Cantharis plagiata
Lineage: Eukaryota; Metazoa; Arthropoda; Insecta; Coleoptera; Cantharidae
Description: tRNA-Asp
Source: RNAcentral
AAAAUUUAGUUAAAUUUAUAACAUUAGUUUGUCAAACUAAAAUUAUUUAAAUUAAAUAAUUUUUAA